This 239-nucleotide ribosomal RNA is filed under the name uncultured soil bacterium. RNAcentral's name for it is "partial 16S ribosomal RNA". It matches the Rfam family "Bacterial small subunit ribosomal RNA", at positions 26 to 265 of the family's 1533-position model. The record is from RNAcentral.
AGAUUGAACGCUGGCGGCAUGCCUUACACAUGCAAGUCGAACGGCAGCACGGGGGCAACCCUGGUGGCGAGUGGCGAACGGGUGAGUAAUGCAUCGGAACGUGCCCAGUAGUGGGGGAUAACUAGUCGAAAGAUUAGCUAAUACCGCAUACGACCUAUGGGUGAAAGCGGGGGAUUCGCAAGAACCUCGCGCUAUCGGAGCGGCCGAUGUCUGAUUAGCUAGUUGGCGGGUAAGCCACC